RNAcentral lists this long non-coding RNA (616 nucleotides) under Elaeis guineensis (African oil palm). RNAcentral's name for it is "long non-coding RNA (EGUI_LNC077529)". Lineage: Eukaryota; Viridiplantae; Streptophyta; Magnoliopsida; Arecales; Arecaceae. The record is from RNAcentral.
GGGGGACUCGACACCUCUGGGGGGUGGUCCGCGGUGGCUGCGACGGUGGUGGAGGGUCCGGCUUCAUCCUCGGAUGCCUCGUCCAAGAAGCUAAGGUCAAGCUCGAAGAAUUUCACGACCAUCUUCUCCUGGCAGAGCUCGAACCCUUUAUUGAAUGCAGCUUGGCCGAACUCAACCUUCAACUUCUUCAUUUCGGUGGAAGCCUUGAACUCCUCCACCGCUUGACCAGGGUCAGGAUCUGUUCCGCCAUGUUGGCAACCUCGGCCUCCACCCUCCUCACCAUCUCCUCCAAGGCGGCCUUCUGUUCCGCCGAGGUCUGUCUUUCUCUCUCAAGCGCCUCUCGGAGACCGACCGCCUCGAGGGCCAUUUUCUUAAGGAGGGCAGCCUCGGCCUGCUGACCUUCCACCGCCUUGUUUGUCGUCUCGAUGUUGGCGAGGAGUUGGUGCCCGAGCUGCAAGGACGAUCGGAGGGUCAGAAUGGGAGCUGAGAAGUUAAUUAAAUGAAGAAGCGAAAGGAAGAAAGGAAGAUGAAUCUGCUUACCUCGAGGAAGGCCCCCAGUGAGUCCCAGACUCGUUGUGCAGGAUCGACGCGGACGAUCCUCUGGAUGACUUCGGAC